This 406-nucleotide ribosomal RNA is filed under the name uncultured bacterium. Its description in RNAcentral is "partial 16S ribosomal RNA". It matches the Rfam family "Bacterial small subunit ribosomal RNA", at positions 30 to 526 of the family's 1533-position model. The record is from RNAcentral.
AUUGAACGCUGGCGGCAGGCCUAACACAUGCAAGUCGAACGAGUGGCGGACGGGUGAGUAAUGUCUGGGAAACUGCCCGAUGGAGGGGGAUAACUACUGGAAACGGUAGCUAAUACAGCAUACCAUCGGAUGUGCCCAGAUGGGAUUAGCUUGUAGGUGAGGUAACGGAUCACCUAGGCGACGAUCCCUAGCUGGUCUGAGAGGAUGACCAGGCACACUGGAAAUGAGACACGGGCCAGACGCUUACGGUAGGCAGCGGUGGGUAAUAUUGCACAAUGUGCGAAAGUCUUAUGCAGCUAUGCCGCGUGUAUGAAGAAGGCCGUCGGGUUGUAAAGUAGUUUCAGCGGGGAGGCGUUACCCGCAGAAUAAUCACCGGCUAACUCCGUGCCAGCAGCCGCGGUAAUGC